GACUGCUCUGGUGGCCUAAGUGGUUAGAGCAUCCACCUUGGAUGUGGGAGGUCACAGGUUUGAACUAUGGCCAAGUCA
Non-coding RNA from Potamilus streckersoni, 78 nucleotides. The record is from the annotation of a GenBank genome assembly. Lineage: Eukaryota; Metazoa; Mollusca; Bivalvia; Unionida; Unionidae.